Molecule: ribosomal RNA, 276 nt
Filed under: uncultured bacterium
Lineage: Bacteria
Description: partial 16S ribosomal RNA
Rfam family: Bacterial small subunit ribosomal RNA
Source: RNAcentral
GUGCCUAACACAUGCAAGUCGAGCGAGAAAGUGGAGCAAUCCAUGAGUAAAGCGGCGCACGGGUAAGUAACACGUGACUAACCUACCCUCGAGUGGGGAAUAACUUCGGGAAACCGAGGCUAAUACCGCAUAAUACCCACGGGUCAAAGGAGAAAUCCGCUUGAGGAGGGGGUCGCGGCCGAUUAGUUAGUUGGCGGGGUAAUGGCCCACCAAGACGAUGAUCGGUAUCCGGCCUGAGAGGGCGCACGGACACACUGGAACUGAAACACGGUCCAG